AAUAUUCUGUGAUGUGGAUGAACCCCAACUGCUUUGAAAAGCAAGGAGAAAAUCUCCAGCCCUGGGAUGUCAGUCACUUCCUUAUACCUCUGAGAGCUCUGUGAGAAGGAUGCUCCUGGGUCCUCUGUUAGUUCACAAAGUACAAGAAACCCAGGGAGUGGACCUCACCCCAUUCACACCUACUUGGAACCAGAUGAGAUGGGAUCAGCAGAGCAGCAUGAGGCAACCAGAAGCAAAAAUCACUUGAAAGAGUUGGUUCCACCUUCACAGAGCUUCACCAAGACCUCUACAGCUAGUCUCUCAUCAGGUGUUCCUCGAUGAAAAAGGCACGUUAGGCUUUUCUUUCUCAUUUAGCAGACAAACCACCAGGCAUCCAGACAGA
This is a long non-coding RNA of Fukomys damarensis (Damara mole-rat), 382 nucleotides long. RefSeq lists it as uncharacterized. Lineage: Eukaryota; Metazoa; Chordata; Mammalia; Rodentia; Bathyergidae. The transcript has 3 exons. The record is from RefSeq and is a predicted model, not a curated record.